Molecule: transfer RNA, 87 nt
Filed under: Schizophyllum commune H4-8
Lineage: Eukaryota; Fungi; Basidiomycota; Agaricomycetes; Agaricales; Schizophyllaceae
Description: tRNA-Lys
Rfam family: tRNA
About the family: Transfer RNA (tRNA) molecules are approximately 80 nucleotides in length. Their secondary structure includes four short double-helical elements and three loops (D, anti-codon, and T loops). Further hydrogen bonds mediate the characteristic L-shaped molecular structure. tRNAs have two regions of fundamental functional importance: the anti-codon, which is responsible for specific mRNA codon recognition, and the 3' end, to which the tRNAs corresponding amino acid is attached (by aminoacyl-tRNA synthetases). tRNAs cope with the degeneracy of the genetic code in two manners: having more than one tRNA (with a specific anti-codon) for a particular amino acid; and 'wobble' base-pairing, i.e. permitting non-standard base-pairing at the 3rd anti-codon position.
Source: Rfam by way of RNAcentral
GCCCGCCUAGCUCAAUCGGCUAGAGCGUCAGACUUUUACGGCUUGCGUAGAAUCUGAAGGCUGCGGGUUCGACCCCCGCGGUGGGCU